GAAGAUAUUGCCAGGCAUUCUGCAGGACACAGACAGAAGAGACUAAUGAACUUUGCCAAUAGUCACUGAAUUCUGAAGAUAAUUUCAUCAAAUGGGAAGCAAGAUUCCACUUUUGAAUAUAAGAAAACAGAGCAUCAGAAAAAAUUGAGUUACCUACACAGCAUAUCUAGAAGCUGAGAGUCUGGCAAUAAGAGACAACUCUAGCAGAGGGCAGUGUACUGUGAACUCUGCCCCAACUUGACCACAGAAGAAAACUUCCAACUUGAACACGAGCCUCUCAUGAGCAAUGGAUCUUCUGGUCCAUCCAGUAAUAAGAAAUCAAGGAUGACUAAAAUCUCAUGCGGACCCUCAAGAACCUUGCAACCAAGGGUAUGAACAAGAAGUCGGGGGCAUGGCUCAGUGAGCAGCCAUGAUGUAUAGCCCACAGUUGUUUGGGGAUCGUGGUAGAGGGAAGUGAUGAGAUGUUGCUGUACCACUUUCUGCUUUCUUCCUUCCCAGCUGCUUUUACUAUCUUCAUUUU
This is a long non-coding RNA of Peromyscus maniculatus bairdii (prairie deer mouse), 520 nucleotides long. RefSeq lists it as uncharacterized. NCBI's taxonomy places the organism in Eukaryota, Metazoa, Chordata, Mammalia, Rodentia, Cricetidae. The record is from RefSeq and is a predicted model, not a curated record.